GGCUCCAUUCUCUGCGCUAUUUUGAUGUUGGGGUGUCAGAGCCCAGCCCAGGGGUGCCACAGUUCAUGGAAGUGGGGUAUGUGGAUGGGAACCCCUUUGUGCACUACGACAGCGAGACAGAGAGGAUGGAGCCGCAGGUGGACUGGAUGGCAAUAUGGAUACCCAGUACUGGGACACACAGACCCAGAUUGCAAAGCACAAUCAGCAGAUUGACCGUGUGAGCCUGGACACAGUGCAGAGACGCUACAACCAGAGUGGAGGGGCUCAGACGCGGCAGCGCAUGUACGGCUGUGACCUCCUGGAGGACGGUAGCACCAGGGGCUUUUAUCAGAAUGCCUACGACGGGAGGGACUUCAUCUCCUUUGACAAGGACACGAUGGCGUUCACCGCGGUGGAUGCAGCAGCGCAAGUUACCAAGAGGAAGUGGGAGGAGGACGGGACUGUUGCUGUGCGUCUAAAGAACUACCUGGAGCACACCUGCAUUGA
This is an RNA transcript of Mesitornis unicolor (brown roatelo), 486 nucleotides long. It is a transcript of the gene named class I histocompatibility antigen, F10 alpha chain-like, with no coding region annotated. The transcript is spliced from 2 exons. The record is from RefSeq and is a predicted model, not a curated record. NCBI's taxonomy places the organism in Eukaryota, Metazoa, Chordata, Aves, Mesitornithiformes, Mesitornithidae.